This 218-nucleotide ribosomal RNA is filed under the name uncultured Diversispora. RNAcentral's name for it is "partial small subunit ribosomal RNA". The stretch from base 47 to 218 matches the Rfam family "Eukaryotic small subunit ribosomal RNA", at positions 692 to 864 of the family's 1831-position model. The record is from RNAcentral. Lineage: Eukaryota; Fungi; Glomeromycota; Glomeromycetes; Diversisporales; Diversisporaceae.
GGGUCUACCCAUUGGUCAGGCUUAAUUGUCUGCACUGGUGAGAUGGAUCUCUACCUUCUGAGGAACUUUCAUGCCAUUUAUUUGGUGUGAUUGGAAAUCAGGACUGUUACUUUGAAAAAAUUAGAGUGUUUAAAGCAGACUAUCGUCUGAAUACAUUAGCAUGGAAUAAUGAAAUAGGACGGACUGAUUCUAUUUCGUUGGUUUCUAGGAUCACCGUA